CAUUUGCUGAUAAGAUUUUUGGCUUGAAAAGUAUAGCUGCAUAUCGCAGCGGUCUGGAAAUUAGUACACAUGUCACUAGGAAAGAUGUUGAGGAAGGUCUUUCUGAGGUCAUACAGGUUUUGGCGACAAAGAUUUGGACUUGAGGUUAUCCAAUCCCCUUCAUCUCCGGGCUGUGCUUGAGGCCAAGAGAUUUUCUAAAAGCCGCAUUGUUCUUUUACAUGCAUCCUACCCGUUUUCAAAGGAAGCAUCAUAUCUAGCCUCUGUUUAUCCCCAGGUCUACCUCGACUUUGGCUUGGCUAUACCCAAGCUCAAUGUCCAAGGGAUGGUAUCUUCACUAAAAGAACUUUUGGAGCUUGCUCCAAUUAAGAAGGUAACAGUAUAUCUGGUUUUCAGUUGUUAGUUACUUUUCUUUCAAGAAUGCAUCUGGUUCUUCAAUGCAUAUCUGAAUGAAAAUUUAUUAUACCUUACUAUACUUGGUUUCU
RNA transcript from Rosa chinensis, 482 nucleotides. It is a transcript of the gene named protein fluG-like, with no coding region annotated. The record is from RefSeq and is a predicted model, not a curated record. The transcript is spliced from 3 exons. NCBI's taxonomy places the organism in Eukaryota, Viridiplantae, Streptophyta, Magnoliopsida, Rosales, Rosaceae.